This 374-nucleotide ribosomal RNA is filed under the name uncultured organism. RNAcentral's name for it is "partial 16S ribosomal RNA". It matches the Rfam family "Bacterial small subunit ribosomal RNA", at positions 527 to 896 of the family's 1533-position model. The record is from RNAcentral.
GUAGGUGGCAAGCGUUGUCCGGAAUUAUUGGGCGUAAAGCGCGCGCAGGCGGUUCUUUAAGUCUGAUGUGAAAGCCCACGGCUCAACCGUGGAGGGUCAUUGGAAACUGGAGAACUUGAGUACAGAAGAGGAAAGCGGAAUUCCACGUGUAGCGGUGAAAUGCGUAGAGAUGUGGAGGAACACCAGUGGCGAAGGCGGCUUUCUGGUCUGUAACUGACGCUGAGGCGCGAAAGCGUGGGGAGCAAACAGGGAUUAGAUACCCUGAUAGUCCACGCCGUAAACGAUGAGUGCUAAGUGUUAGGGGGGUUUCCGCCCCCCUUAGUGCUGCAGCUAACGCAUUAAGCACUCCGCCUGGGAGUACGGCCGCAAGGCUG